AGGGUUCGAUUCUGGCUCAGGAUGAACGCUGGCGGCGUGCUUAACACAUGCAAGUCGAACGGGAUCCAUCAGGCUUUGCUUGGUGGUGAGAGUGGCGAACGGGUGAGUAAUGCGUGACCGACCUGCCCCAUACACCGGAAUAGCUCCUGGAAACGGGUGGUAAUGCCGGAUGCUCCGACUCCUCGCAUGGGGUGUCGGGAAAGAUUUCAUCGGUAUGGGAUGGGGUCGCGUCCUAUCAGGUAGUCGGCGGGGUAACGGCCCACCGAGCCUACGACGGGUAGCCGGCCUGAGAGGGCGACCGGCCACAUUGGGACUGAGAUACGGCCCAG
This 329-nucleotide ribosomal RNA is filed under the name uncultured bacterium. RNAcentral describes it as "bacterial SSU rRNA". It matches the Rfam family "Bacterial small subunit ribosomal RNA", at positions 8 to 334 of the family's 1533-position model. The record is from RNAcentral.